GUUGCCUUGUUGCAUUGUAGGCCCGAAUGACUAUGGCUCUAAUAUUUGUUCAUAUGAACUUGUUUGCGCAUACUGCUUUCUCAUUUAGGCUGUAGUUGCUGUUCACUUUUGUCUUCUGUUUAUUAGCCAAAUUUACUUCUGUUGCCUUUUGUUUUGUUAUUCUUACUUCUGUUUUUCGGUAGUAAUGUACUUCUGUCUUUUUUUCCAGGAUUUGCUUCGAAAUUGAGGAAAUAUAAGAUAAAAUGCCUAGAAGAAAAUGCGAAUAUGAUGAAGAUGUUUCAGCAAUCGCAACAUCCGCCGUCAUAGUGUAUUGUAUAAAUAUUUUUAUCAUUUUAACUUUUAACAGUUUUGUAAAAAUAAUAUGAAUUAUAUUUUAUUUAUUGAUAUUAAUAUUAUUUUAUUUGUUUAAUUUGAAAUAUUAUAUAGAUUUAUUGCUUUUGGCUGGUUUA
Molecule: long non-coding RNA, 449 nt
Organism: Gossypium raimondii (Peruvian cotton)
Lineage: Eukaryota; Viridiplantae; Streptophyta; Magnoliopsida; Malvales; Malvaceae
Exons: 2
Source: RefSeq, a predicted model, not a curated record